CCUACGUGAGGCUGCAGUGGGGAAUAUUGGGCAAUGGAGGCAACUCUUACCCAGCAAUGCCGCGUGAAUGAAGAAGGUCUUCGGAUUGUAAAGUUCUUUAAUUGGGGACGAAAAAAAUGACGGUACCUGACCAAGAAGCCCCGGCUAACUACGUGCCAGCAGCCGCGGUAAUACGUAGGGGGCAAGCGUUAUCCGGAUUUACUGGGUGUAAAGGGAGCGUAGACGGCAAGGCAAGUCUGGAGUGAAAGCCCGUGGCCCAACCACGGGACUGCUUUGGAAACUGUGUUGCUGGAGUGCAGGAGGGGUAAGCGGAAUUCCUAGUGUAGCGGUGAAAUGCGUAGAUAUUAGGAGGAACACCGGUGGCGAAGGCGGCUUACUGGACUGUAACUGACGUUGAGGCUCGAAGGCGUGGGGAGCAAACAGGAUUAGAUACCCUUGUAGUC
Molecule: ribosomal RNA, 443 nt
Filed under: uncultured bacterium
Lineage: Bacteria
Description: partial 16S ribosomal RNA
Rfam family: Bacterial small subunit ribosomal RNA
Source: RNAcentral